This is a long non-coding RNA of Cornus florida, 2233 nucleotides long. RefSeq lists it as uncharacterized. Lineage: Eukaryota; Viridiplantae; Streptophyta; Magnoliopsida; Cornales; Cornaceae. The transcript is spliced from 4 exons. The record is from RefSeq and is a predicted model, not a curated record.
UUAUAUAUGAAAAAAAUAAAAAAAUUUAAGUUAGGGCAAGUCUUGGUUUGGGUAUUGAGGGCCUCAAAUUUUGAGGCCGAUAGGGGAUGAAAAAAAAAAAAAAAGGUUAGGGCAAGUCCUGGUCGGUCUGAAUCACAAGAAAGUCUGAAUCACAGCAAUUUCUUCUGCAGAAACUAGGGUUUGUGUUGUGCUUGUUUGCUGAUCGUCAUCAAUUUUAUGAUUGUUUACCUGAUCUUGAAGAUUACCAAAUAGACCGUUCAUAUAUAAAGAUGAGAGAACAGGCUAAGACUCGGUCGGAAAAGCUAAGGAUAAAGAAUCAAUACUAGAAGGUUACAGAUCUGGUGUGAGGAGCUAUUAUUUUGAAUUUGAAUGCAAAGAAGCCUGGGUGGGAAAACUGUGGAAGGGAGUAAUAGUAAAACAUGGACGAAUGAAAGAAGAUGCUCGAUUUUGGUGUUUGCGCAGAAAAUGAAGAUAUGAGAGAGUGGCCAUUGAUUCAAUACUGAUGUUGAAGGAAUUCAGAACUCCAUAUCUGUUGAGACAGACUGAUGUUGGUGUGGACUUCAACCAAGAAGUGAUUGUGAUUAGUCAUGAAGGAUUUGAUUCCUAUUUUGUUGAGUGGUUGAAGCUUGGAAACAACAUAGAAGCUGAGAGUCAGCCUUUUUUUGUAAACACAUUCGGCGACUAUGAAUUCAAGGAGUUCUGGAUUGAAUCGAUUAUGAGAUAAGAAUAUUUUUUUAUUUCAAAAAACUCCUUUCUUUAUUUGAGUAGUAUAUUAUAAUAAUACAAUUUUUUAUUAUCAAUUCCAUAAACAUUCUAGAUGCAAUAGGGUAUCUAUGCAAAAUGGGUAGAGCCCAUGGAAAUGUUCUACAUGAUGGCUCAUAUGUUAUGCGGGGAGGAAAGAUGCAUCUCAUCAUUCCUUCUAUGGAUGAAAUGAAGGCAGAACAAAACGGAAGACCUUGGAAAAUUCAAAAAGUUCAUAUUCCGUCAUAUUGGCCUAAACAAUCAUCCGUCUAGGCCUCACGAUUGGAAUCCAUUCUACAAUUACAAGACCUCUAAAGCAUCCCGCUAUUGAAACACCCUUUGUUAUUGAAUGAGAAAGAGAGAUUUCAAUACUUUGUGGCUCUCUGCCAUCAUUUGGGAUAUCAUCACAUGGAUUAUACUUUUAACACUGACCAGAAAAUCAAUCAAAAGUUGAUCAAUCCAUGGGGAAAGGCAAAUUGGAUAGAUAAGGUUCGCAUGGCUCAUAAAAAGCGACAAGAGUGUGUUCCUCAUGAGGUUCUACAGUAUCAAGAAAAUGAGGCUGGAAGUGUAAACCAAUACAAAUCUUGUAUGUCUGAUUUGGUUCGUUUUGUUGAUAAUACAACCCAUCAUGGUUGUGACCAUGCAAAGAAAUUUAAGGAACUGGUAUGCCAUUUUACUUUUUGUGUUGUCUCAAUUAGAUAUAUCUUGAAGAAGAUGUAGCCAUGGAGUUGGGGCACAUAUUUCCAGGCUUUCUCUCUGCCUUACGCCAGGUUUCGAUCGAAGUGUUUGAUUAUCCGAUAAUGUAGCUUCUAAUCUUAAUAUGCUCAGGUACAGUGAUAUAACAUGACUUAGCCAGAAUUUAGUUGUGUUUUCAGUGAUUUUAGUAACACUAUCAGUGGUAAUUGAUGUUUCCUUGGUAUUUUGUCACCAUGGCUUAGACUGUUUUGUUUUCUCUAAUAGUUCUUGAAUGUAAACCAGAAUUUAGUUGUGUUUCCAGUGAUUUUAGUAACACUAUCAUGGUAAUUGAUGUUUCCUUGGUAUUUUUUCACCAUGGUUUAGACUGUUUUGUUUUCUCUAAUAGUUCUUGAAUGUGAGCCAGAAUUUAGUUGUGUUUCCAGUGAUUUUAGUAAUACUGUGAGUGGCAAUUGAUGUUUCCUUGGUAUUUUGUCACCAUGGUUUAGACUGUUUUGUUUUCUCUAAUAGUUCUUGAAUGUGAGCCAGAAUUUAGUUGUGUUUCCAGUGGUUUUAGUAACACUAUCAGUGGCAAUUGAUGUUUCAUUGGUAUUUUGUCACCAAGGUUUAGACUGUUUUGUUUUCUCUAAUAGUUCGUGAAUGUGAGACGGACUCUCAUACUUGUUUGUCUUCUAUGCCUGACAUGUGCUUAAACUAUCCUCAGAAGUGUGUACUGUUCUUGGGACGCGUUCCUUUUUGAACGCCUUCUAAUACAAUUUUACUUAUUGAAAAAAAAAAAAAAAAAAAAAAAAUUCAAAAA